AUUAGUGUUACAAAAGGCCAUUAGAACGGAUCGAGAAGAUGAAGGCAAGCUGAACAGGAGGACAAACCAUCUACCAGUACUUGGAUUCUUGCACCGAAAUCAACACAGUACUACCUUAUGAAGAAGCUGGCUUCUCUCCCUUCCCUGCCGGUGAUGACGGCGAUCAUCCUGGCCGUCGCCAUCUCCUGCUCCGUCGUCGUCCACUGCUCGGAGGCCCGAGCCCAAGCAGAUGCGGCCGUGCCUCACCCGGACGGAGACCAUCAGGGGCAGGUGCCGCCGGCGCCGCAGGGCAAGACGCCGAUACAGCCGCAGCCGCCGUGCUGCGAACGGCCAGGCGUGUAACAUCCGAGAUCAAGACGGAGCCUGCGACAUCACGAUUAUCAUCUGGACAUCCGGUGACCUCUUCCUCUGGUCCUACUGCUAAGAACUGGCCAGUGGCCACACCACAAGGCUGCGGACGUGGAGUGAAAAGAUAGAUCAUGUACUAGGCUAUAGCUGAUUGGUACCUCUCCUUUGUCUUUUUUUUUUGAAAUAAUGGUACCUCCCCUUUGUCUC
Molecule: long non-coding RNA, 555 nt
Organism: Setaria italica (foxtail millet)
Lineage: Eukaryota; Viridiplantae; Streptophyta; Magnoliopsida; Poales; Poaceae
Exons: 2
Source: RefSeq, a predicted model, not a curated record